AUGAACGCUGGCGGCGUGCCUUAAGCAUGCAAGUCGAACGAUUGAAGCUAUGCAGCAAUGCGUAGCGGAUCUAGUGGCAGACGGGUGAGUAAUACAUAGGAAUCUACCUCUUGGUGGGGAAUAGCUCGCCGAAAGGCGGGGUAAUACCGCAUAUGAUCUACGGAUCAAAGACCUUAACCGGUCGCCGAGAGAGGAGCCUGUGUCCCAUCAGCUAGUUGGUAAGGUAAUGGCUUACCAAGGCUACGACGGGUAGGGGAUGUGAGAGCAUGAUCCCCCACAAGGACACUGAGAUACGGGUCCUACACCUACGGGUGGCAGCAACUGGGAAUCUUGCGCAAUGGACGAAAGUCUGACGCAGCGACGCCGCGUGUGGGAAGAAGGCCUUCGGGUCGUAAACCACUGUGGUAGGGGAAUAACAAAUGAAGGUACCCUACUAGAAAGCACCUGCUAACCACGUGCCAGAAGCCUCGGUAAUACGUGGGGUGCAAGCGUUAUCCGGAUUUACUGGGCGUAAAGCGUUCUGUAGGCGGUUUUGUAAGUAUAUGGUUAAAGGCUGCGGCUCAACCGUAGACAUGCUGUAUAAACUACAAUGACUAGAUGGUUGUCGGGAGUAUCGGAAUUCUCGGUGGAGGGGUGAAAUCCGUUGAUAUCGAGAGGAACACCAAAGGCGAAGGCAGAUACUUAGGCAAUUUAUGACGCUGAUAGACGACAGCUAGGGGAGCGAAAGGGAUUAGAGACCCCUGUAGUCCUAGCCGUAAACGAUGGAUGCUAGCUGGUCGGAUUUAUCUGGCCGGCGUAAGCUAACGCGUUAAGCU
This 815-nucleotide ribosomal RNA is filed under the name uncultured bacterium. RNAcentral describes it as "bacterial SSU rRNA". It matches the Rfam family "Bacterial small subunit ribosomal RNA", at positions 29 to 866 of the family's 1533-position model. The record is from RNAcentral.